Molecule: ribosomal RNA, 1333 nt
Filed under: uncultured bacterium
Lineage: Bacteria
Description: bacterial SSU rRNA
Rfam family: Bacterial small subunit ribosomal RNA
Source: RNAcentral
GACGAACGCUGGCGGCGCGCCUAACACAUGCAAGUCGAACGAGAGAUGAGGAGCUUGCUCUUCAAAUCGAGUGGCGAACGGGUGAGUAACGCGUGAGGAACCUGCCUCAAAGAGGGGGACAACAGUUGGAAACGACUGCUAAUACCGCAUAAGCCCACGGCUCGGCAUCGAGCAGAGGGAAAAGGAGCAAUCCGCUUUGAGAUGGCCUCGCGUCCGAUUAGCUAGUUGGUGAGGUAAUGGCCCACCAAGGCGACGAUCGGUAGCCGGACUGAGAGGUUGAACGGCCACAUUGGGACUGAGACACGGCCCAGACUCCUACGGGAGGCAGCAGUGGGGAAUAUUGCACAAUGGGGGAAACCCUGAUGCAGCGACGCCGCGUGGAGGAAGAAGGUCUUCGGAUUGUAAACUCCUGUUGUUGAGGAAGAUAAUGACGGUACUCAACAAGGAAGUGACGGCUAACUACGUGCCAGCAGCCGCGGUAAAACGUAGGUCACAAGCGUUGUCCGGAAUUACUGGGUGUAAAGGGAGCGCAGGCGGGAGAACAAGUUGGAAGUGAAAUCCAUGGGCUCAACCCAUGAACUGCUUUCAAAACUGUUUUUCUUGAGUAGUGCAGAGGUAGGCGGAAUUCCCGGUGUAGCGGUGGAAUGCGUAGAUAUCGGGAGGAACACCAGUGGCGAAGGCGGCCUACUGGGCACCAACUGACGCUGAGGCUCGAAAGUGUGGGUAGCAAACAGGAUUAGAUACCCUGGUAGUCCACACCGUAAACGAUGAUUACUAGGUGUUGGGGGAUUGACCCCUUCAGUGCCGCAGUUAACACAAUAAGUAAUCCACCUGGGGAGUACGUCCGCAAGGUUGAAACUCAAAGGAAUUGACGGGGGCCCGCACAAGCAGUGGAGUAUGUGGUUUAAUUCGACGCAACGCGAAGAACCUUACCAGGUCUUGACAUCCCUUGACGAACAUAGAAAUAUGUUUUCUCUUCGGAGCAAGGAGACAGGUGGUGCAUGGUUGUCGUCAGCUCGUGUCGUGAGAUGUUGGGUUAAGUCCCGCAACGAGCGCAACCCUUAUGGUCAGUUACUACGCAAGAGGACUCUGGCCAGACUGCCGUUGACAAAACGGAGGAAGGUGGGGAUGACGUCAAAUCAUCAUGCCCUUUAUGACUUGGGCUACACACGUACUACAAUGGCGUUAAACAAAGAGAAGCAAGACCGCGAGGUGGAGCAAAACUCAGAAACAACGUCCCAGUUCGGACUGCAGGCUGCAACUCGCCUGCACGAAGUCGGAAUUGCUAGUAAUCGUGGAUCAGCAUGCCACGGUGAAUACGUUCCCGGGCCUU